This 23-nucleotide transfer RNA is filed under the name Meloidogyne incognita (southern root-knot nematode). RNAcentral describes it as "partial tRNA-His". The record is from RNAcentral. Lineage: Eukaryota; Metazoa; Nematoda; Chromadorea; Rhabditida; Meloidogynidae.
AAGCUAUUAAUUUCAAAUUGAAU